This 288-nucleotide long non-coding RNA is filed under the name Ananas comosus (pineapple). Its description in RNAcentral is "long non-coding RNA (ACOM_LNC021928)". The record is from RNAcentral. Lineage: Eukaryota; Viridiplantae; Streptophyta; Magnoliopsida; Poales; Bromeliaceae.
UUUAUUUAUAGUUUUUAAUAAAGCUUGUAAUUAAAUUUUGGAAUAAUACUAUUCCACCACCAAAGGGGUGGAAUAGUUUAUCCACCGUUCUUCCUGGAUAAGAUAAUCGGGAGUAGCAAGUUUUGACCGAAAUUUUUUAUUCCAGUAAAAAACAUUACGUUUUGGCAGAAUAAUGGAGAUAACUUUAACAUUUUAUUCUCGAACGAACUGGCCUUAAAACAAAAACUCAAUUACACUCUUUCCUCUCUCUUUCUCUCUUUCUCUCUCUCUCUCUCUCUCUCUCUAAUU